Molecule: ribosomal RNA, 245 nt
Filed under: uncultured bacterium
Lineage: Bacteria
Description: partial 16S ribosomal RNA
Rfam family: Bacterial small subunit ribosomal RNA
Source: RNAcentral
GACAGAGGAGCCAAGCGUUGUCCGGAUUGACUGGGCGUAAAGCGCACGCAGGCGGUCGUGCACGUGGGGUGUGAAAGCUGGCGGCUUAACUGCCAGAUGCCACCUCAUACGGCGCGACUCGAGCCCUGCAGAGGUCCAUGGAAUUGCCGGUGUAGUGGUGAAAUGCGUAGAGAUCGGCAGGAACACCCAGGGGGAAACCAGUGGACUGGGCAGGAGCUGACGCUCAGGUGCGAAAGCGUGGGGAG